RNAcentral lists this ribosomal RNA (498 nucleotides) under uncultured bacterium. RNAcentral's name for it is "partial 16S ribosomal RNA". It matches the Rfam family "Bacterial small subunit ribosomal RNA", at positions 28 to 523 of the family's 1533-position model. The record is from RNAcentral.
GAUGAACGCUAGCGGCAGGCCUAAUACAUGCAAGUCGGACGGGAUUUGGGAGCUUGCUCCUAAUGAGAGUGGCGCACGGGUGCGUAACACGUAUGUAACCUACCUUAAUCAGGGGGAUAGCCUCUCGAAAGAGAGAUUAACACCGCAUAAUAUAUUUUUAUGGCAUCGUAGAAAUAUCAAAUAUUUAUAGGAUUAAGAUGGGCAUGCGGAACAUUAGCUAGUUGGUAAGGUAACGGCUUACCAAGGCUACGAUGUUUAGGGGAUCUGAGAGGAUGCACCCCCAACCUGGUACUGAGACAAGGACCAGACUCCUACGGGAGGCAGCAGUAAGGAAUAUUGGUCAAUGGGCGCAAGCCUGAACCAGCCAUGCCGCGUGCAGGAAGACGGCCCUAUGGGUUGUAAACUGCUUUUGUACCGGAAUAAACCCUUUUACGUGUAAGAGGCUGAAUGUACGGUAAGAAUAAGGAUCGGCUAACUCCGUGCCAGCCGCCGCCGUAA